Molecule: long non-coding RNA, 548 nt
Filed under: Marmota monax (woodchuck)
Lineage: Eukaryota; Metazoa; Chordata; Mammalia; Rodentia; Sciuridae
Source: RNAcentral
CCUAUCUCUGGUCUCCCUUCCUCCUAUAGUACAGUUCAUGCUACAUAACAUGGCUGUGGACCUUGUAUGGCUAAGCCCAUGCUGCCCUCAGCCACUCCCUCCCUGGGCAAUCAUGUCUUCUUCGCCUUAAAUCUGUGCCUUUGUUCUGUGUUAGUGUUGAAAAGCUUCUGUCAAUUCAGCUUGAGAUGCUCCUUUUUCUCCCUGGGGAGGCCAGCAUCUCUUUAGGUCUCUGACCAAGUGUGUGCCUGGGAUGAAAUCCUCUCUCCCAGCAGUCCAAGAGUCUGCCUCCUCCUCCUAGCCAGUCACUCCUGUGAGGGCAUCUAGCCAUCUCCCAGAUACCUAAUGCUCCUGGGGAACUCCUGGGAUCUAAGACCCCUCCUCAGCCACAUCCCUGCUCAUCCUGAAUAUCCAUUAGUCCUGGACCCAAAAUAAAAAUGAAUGAAAUAGAGACCGGGUCUGUGGCUCAGUGGUAGCACACUGGCCUAGCAUGUGUGAGGCACUGGGUUUGAUUCAUACAUAUAUAUAUAUAUGAAUAAAAUGAGUCAAAU